Molecule: transfer RNA, 72 nt
Filed under: Camelus bactrianus (Bactrian camel)
Lineage: Eukaryota; Metazoa; Chordata; Mammalia; Artiodactyla; Camelidae
Also listed under: 2 other names
Rfam family: tRNA
About the family: Transfer RNA (tRNA) molecules are approximately 80 nucleotides in length. Their secondary structure includes four short double-helical elements and three loops (D, anti-codon, and T loops).
Source: Rfam by way of RNAcentral
GUGGGUAUAGCUUAGUGGUAGAGCGCAUGCUUAGCAUGCACAAGGUCCUGGGUUCAAUCCCCAGUAGCUCCA